RNAcentral lists this ribosomal RNA (115 nucleotides) under Sinocyclocheilus grahami. The record is from RNAcentral. Lineage: Eukaryota; Metazoa; Chordata; Actinopteri; Cypriniformes; Cyprinidae.
GCCACAGCCAUAUCACCCUACAACCCAAGACUGGUCACCCACUGAAGCUAAGCAGGGCAGAGCUGGUCAGUACCUGGAUGGGAGACCUCCUGGGAAAACUAGGUUGCUGCUGGAA